GCCCUGUGCAGCCAUGCCGCGUGUAUGAAGAAGGCCUUCGGGUUGUAAAGUACUUUCAGCGGGAGGGGGCCUUGGUUAAUAACUUCAGCAAUUGACGUUACCCGAGAAGAGGCGCCGGCUAACUCCGUGCCAGCAGCCGCGGUAAUACGGAGGGUGCAAGCGUUAAUCGGAAUUACUGGGUUUCCAGCUAGAGAGGGAGCGGUCUGUCAAGUCGGAUGUGAAAUCCCCGGGCUCAACCUGGGAACUGCAUUCGAAACUGGCAGGCUGAGUCUUGUAGAGGGGGGUAGAAUUCCAGGUGUAGCGGUGAAAUGCGUAGAGAUCUGGAG
RNAcentral lists this ribosomal RNA (326 nucleotides) under uncultured Enterobacter sp. RNAcentral's name for it is "bacterial SSU rRNA". It matches the Rfam family "Bacterial small subunit ribosomal RNA", at positions 381 to 703 of the family's 1533-position model. The record is from RNAcentral. Lineage: Bacteria; Pseudomonadati; Pseudomonadota; Gammaproteobacteria; Enterobacterales; Enterobacteriaceae.